This 85-nucleotide transfer RNA is filed under the name Moraxella sp. RNAcentral describes it as "tRNA-Leu(tag)". It matches the Rfam family "tRNA". From Rfam's summary of the family: Transfer RNA (tRNA) molecules are approximately 80 nucleotides in length. Their secondary structure includes four short double-helical elements and three loops (D, anti-codon, and T loops). Further hydrogen bonds mediate the characteristic L-shaped molecular structure. tRNAs have two regions of fundamental functional importance: the anti-codon, which is responsible for specific mRNA codon recognition, and the 3' end, to which the tRNAs corresponding amino acid is attached (by aminoacyl-tRNA synthetases). tRNAs cope with the degeneracy of the genetic code in two manners: having more than one tRNA (with a specific anti-codon) for a particular amino acid; and 'wobble' base-pairing, i.e. permitting non-standard base-pairing at the 3rd anti-codon position. The record is from RNAcentral. RNAcentral also lists the same sequence under 1 other name. Lineage: Bacteria; Pseudomonadati; Pseudomonadota; Gammaproteobacteria; Moraxellales; Moraxellaceae.
GGGGUUGUGGCGAAAUUGGUAGACGCACUGGAUUUAGGUUCCAGCGGGGCGACCCGUGAGAGUUCGAGUCUCUCCAACCCCACCA